AUUGAACGCUGGCGGCAGGCCUAACACAUGCAAGUCAAGCGAGAGGCGGACGGGUGAGUAAUGUAUGGGGACUGCCCGAUAGAGGGGGAUAAAUACUGGAAACGGUUGCUAAUACCGCAUACUGUCGGAUAACCCAUAUGGGUUUAGCUGGUAGGUAAGGUAAUGGCUUACCUAGGCGACGAUCCCUAGCUGGUCGUAGAGGAUGAUAAGCCACACGGGGACUUGGACACGGCCCAGAUUCCUACGGUGGCAGCAGUGGGGAAUAUGGCACAAUGGGCGAAAUCCUGAUGAAGCCAUGCCGCGGGGAUGAAGAAGUCCCUAGGGUGGUAAAGUACUUUCAGUCUGGAAGCGUGACCGACAGAAGAAGCACCGGCUAACUCCGUGCCAGCAGCCGCGGUAAUAC
RNAcentral lists this ribosomal RNA (403 nucleotides) under uncultured bacterium. RNAcentral's name for it is "partial 16S ribosomal RNA". It matches the Rfam family "Bacterial small subunit ribosomal RNA", at positions 30 to 526 of the family's 1533-position model. The record is from RNAcentral.